GCAGACCCCGCCUCUCUUCCAGCAUCCUCCCACCUCAUGGCUCUGCCUGCACUCCCCGCUGAUCUGCAGGGUCACGGUGCUCCUGAAGCGAUGUGCCGGAGCCAGCUCACCACUUGCAUUUACUGCCUGCCCUAAGGUAUGCCUCUAAUAUUCCAUGAAAGAAUGGGAAAGAAACCACAAAGAUGACUGGAAUACACAGACCUAAAACACAUGGUUAUCCUCAUUAACACUGCAAUUAACCUGAGGGGAGUCCAGUCCUACUCUGCGGAAAGGCAAACACCUGUGGGAAGUUCUCUGUGAAGAGGGAACAUGGCUCAACCCUUUCUGUGCUGGCUCAGGGACUGCAACCCUAUCAAAUUCAACUGCAGUUUGAUUCAAACCCAUCUCCCUUGUAUACGGUGUCUGCAUGUCUGCAGCAGGGAAUCUGGCCAGCUCUCAGCAGCCGCCUUUCCUCUAAGAAUUGCAGACUGAAGCAAAUUCCCAGCUUAUUAAAAAAUAGUUUUGUUA
Long non-coding RNA from Alligator mississippiensis (American alligator), 507 nucleotides. RefSeq lists it as uncharacterized. The record is from RefSeq and is a predicted model, not a curated record. The transcript has 4 exons. NCBI's taxonomy places the organism in Eukaryota, Metazoa, Chordata, Crocodylia, Alligatoridae.